RNAcentral lists this ribosomal RNA (340 nucleotides) under uncultured Anaerolineaceae bacterium. RNAcentral's name for it is "bacterial SSU rRNA". It matches the Rfam family "Bacterial small subunit ribosomal RNA", at positions 1029 to 1382 of the family's 1533-position model. The record is from RNAcentral. Lineage: Bacteria; Bacillati; Chloroflexota; Anaerolineae; Anaerolineales; Anaerolineaceae.
CUUGUACAGGUGCUGCAUGGCUGUCGUCAGCUCGUGUCGUGAGAUGUUCGGUUAAGUCCGCUAACGAGCGCAACCCUCGCUGUGUGUUACAAGUGUCACACGGAACUGCCGGUCAUAAACCGGAGGAAGGUGGGAUGACGUCAAGUCAGCAUGGCCUUUAUAUCCUGGGCUACACACACGCUACAAUGGGAAGGGACAAUAGGUUGCGAAGCCGCGAGGCGGAGCCAAUCCAGCAAAACUUCCCUCAGUUCAGAUUGCAGGCUGCAACCCGCCUGCAUGAAGUUGGAGUUGCUAGUAAACGCAGGUCAGCCAUACUGCGUUGAAUACGUUCCCGGGGCUU